This 116-nucleotide ribosomal RNA is filed under the name Periophthalmus magnuspinnatus. The record is from RNAcentral. Lineage: Eukaryota; Metazoa; Chordata; Actinopteri; Gobiiformes; Gobiidae.
CUUUGUGGCUGCACUUCCUUGUCAAAGCCUGAUCUCGUCUGAUCUCAGAAGCUAAGCAAGGCCGGGCCUGCUCAGUACUUGGAUGGGAGACCGUUGGGGAGCCAGUGUCACAGUGG